This 1003-nucleotide ribosomal RNA is filed under the name Microbacterium sp. T-46. RNAcentral describes it as "bacterial SSU rRNA". It matches the Rfam family "Bacterial small subunit ribosomal RNA", at positions 35 to 1048 of the family's 1533-position model. The record is from RNAcentral. Lineage: Bacteria; Bacillati; Actinomycetota; Actinomycetes; Micrococcales; Microbacteriaceae.
GCUGGCGGCGUGCUUAACACAUGCAAGUCGAACGAUGAAGCCCAGCUUGCUGGGUGGAUUAGUGGCGAACGGGUGAGUAACACGUGAGCAACCUGCCCCUGACUCUGGGAUAAGCGCUGGAAACGGCGUCUAAUACUGGAUACGAACAAGAAUCGCAUGGUUACUUGUUGGAAAGAUUUUUUGGUUGGGGAUGGGCUCGCGGCCUAUCAGCUUGUUGGUGAGGUAAUGGCUCACCAAGGCGUCGACGGGUAGCCGGCCUGAGAGGGUGACCGGCCACACUGGGACUGAGACACGGCCCAGACUCCUACGGGAGGCAGCAGUGGGGAAUAUUGCACAAUGGGCGGAAGCCUGAUGCAGCAACGCCGCGUGAGGGAUGACGGCCUUCGGGUUGUAAACCUCUUUUAGCAGGGAAGAAGCGAGAGUGACGGUACCUGCAGAAAAAGCGCCGGCUAACUACGUGCCAGCAGCCGCGGUAAUACGUAGGGCGCAAGCGUUAUCCGGAAUUAUUGGGCGUAAAGAGCUCGUAGGCGGUUUGUCGCGUCUGCUGUGAAAUCCCGAGGCUCAACCUCGGGCCUGCAGUGGGUACGGGCAGACUAGAGUGCGGUAGGGGAGAUUGGAAUUCCUGGUGUAGCGGUGGAAUGCGCAGAUAUCAGGAGGAACACCGAUGGCGAAGGCAGAUCUCUGGGCCGUAACUGACGCUGAGGAGCGAAAGGGUGGGGAGCAAACAGGCUUAGAUACCCUGGUAGUCCACCCCGUAAACGUUGGGAACUAGUUGUGGGGUCCAUUCCACGGAUUCCGUGACGCAGCUAACGCAUUAAGUUCCCCGCCUGGGGAGUACGGCCGCAAGGCUAAAACUCAAAGGAAUUGACGGGGACCCGCACAAGCGGCGGAGCAUGCGGAUUAAUUCGAUGCAACGCGAAGAACCUUACCAAGGCUUGACAUAUACGAGAACGGGCCAGAAAUGGUCAACUCUUUGGGACNCUCGUAAACAGGUGGUGCAUGG